UUAUUUUAGAUGAUAUAAACUAAUUUUGGCAUAGUGGCCGAUUGGAAAGGCAGGGGUCUGCAAAACCUCUUAUAGCGGUUCGAUUCCGCUCUUUGCCU
RNAcentral lists this transfer RNA (98 nucleotides) under Blattabacterium sp. (Cryptocercus punctulatus) str. Cpu. Its description in RNAcentral is "tRNA-Cys". The stretch from base 28 to 98 matches the Rfam family "tRNA". From Rfam's summary of the family: Transfer RNA (tRNA) molecules are approximately 80 nucleotides in length. Their secondary structure includes four short double-helical elements and three loops (D, anti-codon, and T loops). Further hydrogen bonds mediate the characteristic L-shaped molecular structure. tRNAs have two regions of fundamental functional importance: the anti-codon, which is responsible for specific mRNA codon recognition, and the 3' end, to which the tRNAs corresponding amino acid is attached (by aminoacyl-tRNA synthetases). tRNAs cope with the degeneracy of the genetic code in two manners: having more than one tRNA (with a specific anti-codon) for a particular amino acid; and 'wobble' base-pairing, i.e. permitting non-standard base-pairing at the 3rd anti-codon position. Lineage: Bacteria; Pseudomonadati; Bacteroidota; Flavobacteriia; Flavobacteriales; Blattabacteriaceae. The record is from RNAcentral.